AUAUCAAUAAGCGGAGGAAAAGAAACCAACAGGGAUUGCCCUAGUAACGGCGAGUGAAGCGGCAACAGCUCAAAUUUGAAAUCUGGCUUCGGCCCGAGUUGUAAUUUGUAGAGGAUGCUUUGGGCGCGGCUCUAACUGAGUUCCCUGGAACGGGACGCCACAGAGGGUGAGAGCCCCGUAUAGUUAGAUGCCUAGCCUAUGUAAAGCUCCUUCGACGAGUCGAGUAGUUUGGGAAUGCUGCUCUAAAUGGGAGGUAAAUUUCUUCUAAAGCUAAAUAUUGGCCAGAGACCGAUAGCGCACAAGUACCGUGAGGGAAAGAUGAAAAGAACUUUGGAAAGAGAGUUAAACAGUACGUGAAAUUGUUGAAAGGGAAACGCUUGAAGUCAGUCGCGUCUGCUGGGACUCAACCUUGCUUUUGCCUGGUGUACUUCUCAGUAGAUGGGCCAGCAUCAAUUUCGGGUGCCGGAAAAGGAUUUGAGGAAUGUGACAGCUUGCUGUGUUAUAGCCUCUUGUCGUACACGGUGCUUGGGAUUGAGGACUGCAGCACGCCUUUUGGUCGGGGUUCUCCCACGCCACGUGCUUAGGAUGCUGGCGUAAUGGCUUUAAACGA
RNAcentral lists this ribosomal RNA (610 nucleotides) under uncultured fungus. RNAcentral describes it as "eukaryotic LSU rRNA". It matches the Rfam family "Eukaryotic large subunit ribosomal RNA", at positions 40 to 647 of the family's 3401-position model. The record is from RNAcentral. Lineage: Eukaryota; Fungi.